This 497-nucleotide ribosomal RNA is filed under the name uncultured bacterium. RNAcentral describes it as "partial 16S ribosomal RNA". It matches the Rfam family "Bacterial small subunit ribosomal RNA", at positions 28 to 507 of the family's 1533-position model. The record is from RNAcentral.
GAUGAACGCUGGCGGCGUGCCCAAUACAUGCAAGUCGAGCGAACGGACGAGAAGCUUGCUUCUCUGAUGUUAGCGGCGGACGGGUGAGUAACACGUGGAUAACCUACCUAUAAGACUGGGAUAACUUCGGGAAACCGGAGCUAAUACCGGAUGAUAUUUUGAACCGCAUGGUUCAAAAGUGAAAGACGGUCUUGCUGUCACUUAUAGAUGGAUCCGCGCUGCAUUAGCUAGUUGGUAAGGUAACGGCUUACCAAGGCAACGAUGCAUAGCCGACCUGAGAGGGUGAUCGGCCACACUGGAACUGAGACACGGUACAGACUCCUACGGGAGGUAGCAGUAGGGAAUCUUCCGCAAUGGGCGAAAGCCUGACGGAGCAACGCCGCGUGAGUGAUGAAGGUCUUCGGAUCGUAAAACUCUGUUAUUAGGGAAGAACAUAUGUGUAAGUAACUGUGCACAUCUUGACGGUACCUAAUCAGAAAGCCACGGCUAACUACGUG